AACCUUCUUCUUGGCCUCUUCUAACUCACUGUCCAUCUUCAUGAACAGUCCUUGAAGGCUUUGAAGAGACUAAGAAAAGGGAUACAUCCAUGACAAAAAAUGGGAGAUUUGGCCAAGACCCGGGAAAAUAGAACAAGAAUCAGUCUCACCUGGGCAGGUUAGAAGACUGGGCUGAGAGAAGCAAGGUGUCCUUCAACAGGGAGCAACGUAAGAAGAAGUGAAAUCCAACAGAAAUCCAACUUAGUUCUCUUUGGACACAGAAGGAAGGCGAAACAGCGCCGAAGAGCUGAUUUGUGGUUGUUCAUAAACCAGAGAACUGCUACUAGAAAGUAUAUAAGGACAUGCUAUUUCAAGAAAUGCUACUGAAUAGCAUGCAGCCAGUAUGAGAAGAUUUUAAACUCAUUGCCCUGCUGAAAUCACUUGAAAGACUCAGUCCCACUUUGGACAGAGUGACCACAUGAUAUUACACAAUUUCCUGAAAACUCAUGGAAAGUAUCUCAAUUUCCAGAAAGACAACAAUGAAUGUGCCUCUACUCAGUUUUUCCUUCCGAGAAUGAAAAAAGCAGGAGUCCCUAACUCUCGGUCCAUGACAUGCCAGAAACCGGGCUGCAGAAACAAGCUAAGUCCCAUCCGUGGGAUGCAGGAAGCACACGAAACCAUGUUCCCUCCAGUCUGUGGAAAAACCUCUCUCCACGAAACCGGUCCCUGGUGUCCAAAAGGUUGGGGGCCGCUACACUAUAGCACAGGGGGGAAUAAAAACAAGAUUGUCAA
This is a non-coding RNA of Pantherophis guttatus, 771 nucleotides long. Lineage: Eukaryota; Metazoa; Chordata; Lepidosauria; Squamata; Colubridae. The record is from RefSeq and is a predicted model, not a curated record.